GAGCUUCCCCUGAAGAUUGGAGGGGAUGAGUCAGGGGCAAGGAAGGAUUAACAGAUUCUGCCUCAAGUCCUGGUGAACCAACUCCUCUCCCCAAGACAGACACAUACUAGUGAAAUAAAUUGGAUUUAAAUCAUCACCUGAGGCAAUCCUGAAAGAGAAAAGCAGUCCUAGAAAAGAGUGGAGGAAAAGAGGACAGCCCCAUUCUCUUUGUGACCACGAAGACUGCCGCCAUGUGGUUGGGAGCCACGUAACUUCUUUUAGUGCCAGCUGAGAUUCUUCUGCCCUGGAACUAGUUCCUCCGAGUUAUUGCCAGGCCUGGAGAUUGAAUUCCUGCAGCUGGAAGGUGGGGAAAGAAUAAACCAAGGAAAGGGGAACUGCAAAAGAAAAGCUUUC
RNAcentral lists this long non-coding RNA (393 nucleotides) under Homo sapiens (human). RNAcentral describes it as "non-protein coding lnc-PSD3-1:6". Lineage: Eukaryota; Metazoa; Chordata; Mammalia; Primates; Hominidae. The record is from RNAcentral.